UGCAGACAGCACCGUUUACUUGCGCGGUAAUAUCGAUCGAAGCAGUGACGUCAGGCCGCGUUUAGCGGAUUCAAACGAUUACGAUAAUUUCGCACGGAUUUUUGAGGCCUAAGCCUUUUACGGAAUGUUAUGAAACUUUGCAUACUGAGUUUUAAUGUCAUAAUGAAUGAUUUUAUGAGAAGUAGGCACGUUUUAAUUUUUUUGUGAACAUUUCUAUUAUUAAAAUAAUUGUUAUUAUCAACGUGUUGUGUUGAAGAGGAUACUAUUUUGAAUUAUUUUUUAGUAGAAGGUAAGGAUUGCAGACAUUAUAGGGAUAAAAGUGGCACUUUUUAUUUUAUAUAUUACGUUGUAGAUUGUUGAAUCGAUGUCUAGAUUUAAAUGUUAGCUACUUAUUAACUGAAGAUGCGUGCAUAAUGCUUUAUAUUCUUCAUUAAAGCUCCCUUCAUAACAAUUCAUCACUAUUUUUGAUUAUUUUUAGAUGUUAAUGUAAACAACAUUCUUGCCUUACAAAGAGAGGAAUAUUUAGAGGAAAUUCGAGUUAUCACCAUUAGGAGGCGGGAGCUGAGAGACCCAUCUAACCCCUUUGAGCUAACGGAUGCUAUAUUUAAGCAGUGCUUUAGACUUACUAAAGACAUGGCCCAAUAUGUAUACAAUGCUGUAGCUCAAGAUAUUGAUGUGACUGGGAAUAUUAUGGCAGUUCCACCUGUAUUAAUUUUUUUUGCAGCAUUAAAUUUUUAUGCCACAGGGUCAUAUCAGCAUUCUGUUGGCUAAAAUUUUAACAUAAGUUUUUCCCAACCAGUUGCUGCAAGAGCCAUAGGGGCAGUUACAAAUGCAAUUGAGGAGAUGUUAGGGAAUACAUACAUGGAUAACAUUUCCUGUAACAGUGCAACAAAAAAAUGAUAUUAAGGCAAGAUUUAUGGAAGCAACAGGUUUUGCUGGUGCAAUAUGAGCUACAAAUUGUACACAUGUAGCAAUAUUAGCUCCUCAUGAGGAAGAACAUAACUACCUUAAUAGAAAGCUUGUUUACUCCAAGAAUGUGCAGUUGGUAAGUUUUUCUGAAAGUCCACAGUCUACGGCAAAUAUGUAUAUUUAGUAAUAUUAUUUUUAUCAUUUUCAGUGUGUGAUAUAUAUAUAUUUUGUUUAGAUUUGCACUUAUAUGAUUUAAGAAUUUUAAAUGUAAAUGCAGGGGCAACUCACGAUGCAUUUAUAUGGCGAAAUUCGUAUGUGAAACAACACUUAAUGGCAACAUAUAAUCAAGGAGAUCACAACUCAUGGUUGAUAGGGGAUUCCGGCUAUCCACUGGAGCCAUGGUUAAUGACACCAUUUCGAAAUCCACCAGAGUCUAAAUUCAAUGAUUUCUGCUAAAUUCUAUGACAUAGCUGCUAGAAAUUGUAUUGAACGUUGCAAUGGGAUUUUAAAAACAAGAUUUCGUUGCCUAUUAAGAGAGAGAGAGAGAGAGUGUGUUAAGGUAUUCUCCUGAAAGAGGUGGAAAGAUAAUUAAUACUUGUGCGAUAAAAUUUGAUUCUUGAAGAAGAAAUUAAUGAUGAAGUGUUUGAUAAUAAUUUACUAGAUGCUAAUGUAUUGAGACAGGGUCAAACUGUAAGGAGACAAAUAAUAAACAUCUACUUUGAUUAUAUUUUUUAUAACUCGUUGUUUUGUCAAAGAAUUUUUUUCACUUUUGUAUUAAUGUAUAUUUAUUCGUUAUAUUAUGUUUAGUGUAGCUUAGCACAAUUCAUUUUUGUUAUUAUAUACAUAUAUAUUUUAUAUAUAUUGUACAUCAUGUAAGACCUAUCCAUAAAUAAAUAAACCUCUGGAAU
This 1817-nucleotide long non-coding RNA is filed under the name Sitophilus oryzae (rice weevil). RNAcentral's name for it is "uncharacterized LOC115883545". The record is from RNAcentral. Lineage: Eukaryota; Metazoa; Arthropoda; Insecta; Coleoptera; Curculionidae.